RNAcentral lists this long non-coding RNA (4624 nucleotides) under Homo sapiens (human). RNAcentral describes it as "HSALNT0264615". Lineage: Eukaryota; Metazoa; Chordata; Mammalia; Primates; Hominidae. The record is from RNAcentral.
GUGCUGACUUCUUGUGCCGGGAAUAUUUCAGUUGCAAGAGAUCACCCAUUUCAUCAAGAGCUUCUAAAACCUGCAAUGAGAUUGCUUUCCAAUAGCUAUCAUUGAACACCUAAGUAGCCCUGCUUUGCAGAGCCCAGAUUAAUAGCAAGCCUCACAAAGACACACAGUCUUAGUUUGCUAGCUUCUUUGAUUUUAAAGAAAAGAAGCAAGAUCCGUACCAUUAGGUUGUGGUUUAAGACCCUAGAGGAAUGUUAGAUGCUAAUUAAUUUUAUUUAGUGGUCUAACUCCAUACUAUGAAUGUUUAUUUUAUUUUGAGAGUGUGAAGAGAAGAAUAAAAACAUGUGACCCAUGCUUACCCUUAAAAGGUUUUAUUUUAAAAUGUAGUGACUUAUAUGUAGUCUUGUGGAAGAAAAAGAUAAGGUUGCAGAAUGCAUUUGAAGUUAUAUCUUCAUGACACAGCAAAUCACCUGGCCAAGAACAAAGAGGAAUGUUGCGGGAGCUGAUUAACAUCAUCCUCUGUCCUCUCAUGCUACCCCAGGCCUCCUGCUUUUAAAUACUCAUCUCUGUGUCCCAGAAAAUACUAGAACUUAACUCACAGGGACUGAGAACUUGUCUGUUUCAACUCUCUUACUUUAGGUGGGUACAUGUAUCCCCCAUUUUGCACAUGAAACAAAUGAGAUCCAGGAAGUAAAAAAAGGUCAUUUUCUGAGAACACAUGGACACAGGAAGGGGAACAUCACACACCAGGGACUGUUGUGGGAUGGGGGGAGUGGGGAGGGAUAGCAUUAGGAGAUAUACCUAAUGCUAAAUGACGAGUUAAUGGGUGCAGCACACCAACAUGGCACAUGUAUACAUAUGUAACAAACCUGCACGUUGUGCACAUGUACCCUAAAACUUAAAGUAUAUUAAUAAUAAAAUAAAAAAAAGGUCAUUUUCAAUUCUAGUAUAUCACCAAUCCUGUGGUAUUGGUCAUGCCUUUUUAACCUUUCUGAGCCUGUUUUUCUUAACCUGCCAAAUGAGGAGGAAGAUAAUAUUAGGGUCUAAUGCUUUGAAAAGGUAAGGUGAGGGUUGUUAAUGUUAGAAUGGGUGACUAAUAGAUCUUAUGGACUUUCCUCUUUGGGAAAUCUUUCAAACUGACAUUAAUUAAGAUUUCCUCCAACUUGUUAACAGUAAUUGAUUUCUUGGUGGUAGGAGUAUGAGUAUUUAAAAUGUUCUUCCCUGUUUUUCUAAAUUUCCUACAUCAAAUCUCAGUACUAAGAAAAAGUAACCAAAGUUAUCUUUAAAAUGACACCUCUCUGGGAUAGUUUCUAGCAAUCUUUGCUGAAGGUGGGGGAUGGACUAGUUCAGUGGUAUCCAAAGUGAAGGAUCUGCACAUUUGGGGCAUCUGUGAGAUAAUUUAUGGAGGAUGCAGGAGGAAAACAUUAGGAUUUCUAUUUUUUUUUUUUUUUUUUUUUUUGAGACAGCGUCUCACUCUGUUGCCCAGGCUGGAGUGCAGUGGCAUGAUCUCGGCUCACUGCAACCUCCGCCUCCCGGGUUCAAGUGAUUCUCCUGCCUCAGCAGUUCGAGUAGCUGGGAUUACAGGCACAUGCUACUACGCCUGGCUAAUUUUUGUAUUUUUAGUAGAGAUGGGGUUUCACCAUGUUGGCCAGGCUGGUCUCGAACUCCUGACCUCAGGUCAUCCGCCCACCUCAACCUCCCAAAGUGCUGGGAUUAUAGGCGUGAGCCACUGCGCCCGACCUCUAUUCAUUUUUAUCUCAACCUUUUAAACUUUUAUUUGUGUGUCUCUUAUAUAAUGUACGUAAUAUAUUGGUAUUGCAUAGAUCAUUUAUAAAGAAUUUAUGUUAAUGUCUGCUGAUCCAAGACCACCCAGAACACACUCGUGCUCAGAGUUAGGUUUCUUUAGCUUGCUGAGAUGGGAGAGGGAGGACACUGCAGAAGAACCGUGGGCAUCUUAGUGACAGGAAGAUGGGAGUGGCUUCUCACUGCAUUUGAGCUUGUGCCUGAGAUGACUCUAAGGAAGCAGGGACCAGUUCUGGGUUGGAUGCUGUUAAGAAGUGGGAGCAGUUCACUGGCUGGCUAUAUAUUUAUAAUUUCUAUCUGAAAGGCGAGAGAAUGAAAGCGAGGCUAGAGUUGUUAUUGGUGAAUGAGCAACUGUCACACAUGUCAGUCAGAAGAGGGAGACAUUAAGUAUUGUGGCCUUGUCUCUGUCUUGUCCAAAUGUGGUCGCAGAGUGCAUUUGUCUAAUAUUAUUUCUAGUCUAUGAGCCUUUAGGUUCAAUUGCUACCUUAAUGUACUGGCUGUUCAUCAGGGUCAUUUUCCAUUUUCUCUUACAUGUACAUUAAGGAACUGCUCAAAAUUUUCUGUUGAGAUGGGCACAUGAUCUCAACAGUUUAGAGGCAUUUGUCUAGAUGACUGAUGUCUCAGUAUCCUUUCAAAGCAGGUGUUUUGCAGCAAUUAAGAAGUUGUGAAGAGAAUCACAUACAUGAAUACCUCAGUGCUGCUUGGAGCACAAAAUUACAAAUUCAUCCAUGCUGUGUGUCCCUCCUGCCAUCUCAGGGAACUUGCUUCCCGGCCAUGCUCUCUUCUCUCCCUUCUGUGCAAGGUCCCCUCUUCACUGUCUUCUUCCCUUAAUGUGUAAACAUGCUCAAGCCUUCUACAUUUUCAAGGGUAUUUUCUAAACCUAUUUUUCUUUCUACAGUCAGACUUCUUGAAAGUUUUGCCUGUCUUUUCUUAACACCAACUCAUUUCAUUUAAAAGAAACAAUUUGUUAAAAUUCACAUUCUGGAAAUACAUACUCAUUUUAGAGAAUCUGGGAAAUAUAGAAGGGUGUAAAGAAAACAAAGUUCACUCAUCUCAAAAUCUGGUUAGCUCAGUUGUUAACAUGCUACUCAAUAAUUUGUACUGUGUACCUACUGUGUACAAUACAAUGGUUUAUGUUUUGAGGCUAUACUGGUGAAGACGAAGGACAUGGCAACUCUGUGUGUGUGUGCGUGUGUGUGCACAUGUGUACGUGUAUAAUUUCAAACUCAAGUUAUCCUCUUUACUCUUUUAUUUUUUUAUUAUUUCUGUUCCCUUCAUUCCCUUAAAAUGCCUACUCUAUGGAACAUCAAGUUCCUACUAAUUGCUAAUCCAAUAGUUUCUUCUCAUCACUCACUGCAUUUAAACUUCCUGCAGUUUUGAGGGGCAUUUUGACCCUCCUCCUUCUUGAAACUUUCUCCUCUGUAUGGAGUUUAAUACUACACUGAACAUGUCUUUCCUGACUGCUCUAGUUCCAUGUAAGUCUGGGUCCCCACCUGCGAUUCCUGUAUCUACCCUGGAAUGUAGGCACUCCCCAGGAGUCUGCCCUGUUCACUCUUGCUCAUAUCUGGACAAUUACAUCUUCUACUGUUGGCUGUAAGGAUCCCUCAGUUCCCUAAACUAUAGCAGUUCCAGCUUUGCAUACUCUCCUAAGCUCUAGAACCUUAUUUUUCUUCUAUAGGUGGACCAUGGACACAUAGUCUCAACAUGUCUAGGACUGAGCUCAUUCUAUUCCCCCACUCCCAUUGAAAAUUUGCUGUUCCUUACUGUAUACCUUAUCUCAUUUAAGUGCUUCACCAUCCUUCUAUUCAUCAGGGCUAAAGACCUCAAAUUGUCUUUGAUUCUCUCUUCCCACAUAUGCACCACAUCCAAUCAUUUGUCAAGUCAUGGCAGUUCCAUUCAUUUGUAAUAUUUGUUCAUGGAUUAGUUUCUUUUGUUUCCACUACCAUUAGCCUUGUCAUCUCUUGUUUUGUUUAAAUAGCUACAUCUUAGAUCCUUUCCUUUUGCCCCUUUCCUCUCCAGUUCAUUUGUCACGUUUAUUUCAUAAUGACAUGAUUGUGUCACUCCACUGAUUGGAAGUCUUGAAUGAUGCUCGAUAAGCUUUAUUAAAAAGGCCUGGCUCAAAAGCCACCUCCCCUGUGAAUCUUCUCCACUCUAAUAAUUCACCCCACCUUCAUGAUCCCACAGUUUUCUAUAUUUCUUCUUCAAGAUUCAUUCAUUCUGUCUGGUAUUAUAUGUGUUGCUUGUUUAUUAGCAUCUUCUCCUAGACUUUUUGCCCCAAGUUUGCACAUAGUUGACUCUCAAUAGUGUUUGCAAAACUGCAUUUAUGUUAUGUGACUCUUCCCAUUAACUCCAAACUGAGUAGAUGGCUUAGUUCUCUGAUAUUACUCAUUCACAUAACAAUGGAAAUCGAGGGACAAUAAAAGGCAAUUUUAAAAUCAUUUCCACCUCACUUAGGUGCUGCUGUAAUGUAGAUUUGUUCUUGUUGGUUUUCCAACAUGUUGCUUAGUUGGGUCAUAUUUUAUUAUGGCAGAUUUAGUGGCUAUGAAAAAUGUCAGGAUGCAUGUAAUUAAGUCUAAAACAGCAUUUUAGACCAGCUUUUGCAUUUAAGAUCAAGUAAAUAGAAGAACAUUUGGCUACUCAGUCAGUCUUUUGUAGGAAACCAAAACACUGAUUGAAAUCUUCACUAAACUGAUUUUCAUUUCUAUCUACUGAGUGGUCACAGUGUUGGCUGUUGUUGACGAGCUCUUGUUUUUUGGCAGUGACUUUUGUCAGUGUUGUUUUCCUAAAUAACCCAAGAGAAACCCAGAGAACCCCAAGCUGUCUC